This is a long non-coding RNA of Corticium candelabrum, 360 nucleotides long. RefSeq lists it as uncharacterized. The transcript is spliced from 3 exons. Lineage: Eukaryota; Metazoa; Porifera; Homoscleromorpha; Homosclerophorida; Plakinidae. The record is from RefSeq and is a predicted model, not a curated record.
ACGAAUGACAUUGUCAAGAAAGUUGUUGAAUGACGUUGUAGCUAGUUGUUGUAUUAUUGCAGUUUGUUGUUGUUUUGGCAUUUCAGGCUGCUGUUGAUGAGGCGUUGGUGCUUGUUCAUCUGGUGGUGUGUCUGUUGAGAUGUGCUGUUGAGCGGGAAGAUGCUCAUGUGUCGGACACGAUGAUACAGCUAGCUUGUUUACUACAUGGUCUUCUCACUGUGUUGCCUGAAUUUGCUCAAGACAUCCAGAACGCGAUGCUACAGCUGUUUGAGUUUUGGUGGUCAUGUGACAUGCCCGGGAAGGAAGGCAUUAUUAGUUUGACUAUGCCAUGUCUCAUUGCCAGAACAUUGAUGCCCGAUG